GGUUAAGCGACUAAGCGUACACGGUGGAUGCCCUGGCAGUCAGAGGCGAUGAAGGGCGUGCUAAUCUGCGAUAAGCGCCGGUAAGGUGAUAUGAACCGUUAUAACCGGCGAUACCCGAAUGGGGAAACCCAGUGUGAUUCGUCACACUAUCAUUAACUGAAUCCAUAGGUUAAUGAGGCGAACCGGGGGAACUGAAACAUCUAAGUACCCCGAGGAAAAGAAAUCAACCGAGAUUCCCCCAGUAGCGGCGAGCGAACGGGGAGGAGCCCAGAGCCUGAAUCAGCAUGUGUGUUAGUGGAAGCGUCUGGAAAGGCGCGCGAUACAGGGUGACAGCCCCGUACACAAAAGCGCAUGUGCUGUGAGCUCGAUGAGUAGGGCGGGACACGUGGUAUCCUGUCUGAAUAUGGGGGGACCAUCCUCCAAGGCUAAAUACUCCUGACUGACCGAUAGUGAACCAGUACCGUGAGGGAAAGGCGAAAAGAACCCCGGCGAGGGGAGUGAAAAAGAACCUGAAACCGUGUACGUACAAGCAGUGGGAGCACCCUUUGGGGUGUGACUGCGUACCUUUUGUAUAAUGGGUCAGCGACUUAUAUUCUGUAGCAAGGUUAACCGUAUAGGGGAGCCGAAGGGAAACCGAGUCUUAACCGGGCGUUAAGUUGCAGGGUAUAGACCCGAAACCCGGUGAUCUAGCCAUGGGCAGGUUGAAGGUUGGGUAACACUAACUGGAGGACCGAACCGACUAAUGUUGAAAAAUUAGCGGAUGACCUGUGGCUGGGGGUGAAAGGCCAAUCAAACCGGGAGAUAGCUGGUUCUCCCCGAAAGCUAUUUAGGUAGCGCCUCGUGAAUUCAUCUCCGGGGGUAGAGCACUGUUUCGGCUAGGGGGCCAUCCCGGCUUACCAACCCGAUGCAAACUGCGAAUACCGGAGAAUGUUAUCACGGGAGACACACGGCGGGUGCUAACGUCCGUCGUGAAGAGGGAAACAACCCAGACCGCCAGCUAAGGUCCCAAAGUCAUGGUUAAGUGGGAAACGAUGUGGGAAGGCCCAGACAGCCAGGAUGUUGGCUUAGAAGCAGCCAUCAUUUAAAGAAAGCGUAAUAGCUCACUGGUCGAGUCGGCCUGCGCGGAAGAUGUAACGGGGCUAAACCAUGCACCGAAGCUGCGGCAGCGAACGUAUCACUUAAAGCGAUUCAGCGGGUUACGAUUGACGGAGCGAAGCGACGUCAAAGCGUAUACAAAGUCGAGUCGGUUUAAGGAUACGUUCGUUGGGUAGGGGAGCGUUCUGUAAGCCUGUGAAGGUGUGUCGUGAGGCAUGCUGGAGGUAUCAGAAGUGCGAAUGCUGACAUAA
Molecule: ribosomal RNA, 1346 nt
Filed under: Salmonella enterica
Lineage: Bacteria; Pseudomonadati; Pseudomonadota; Gammaproteobacteria; Enterobacterales; Enterobacteriaceae
Description: partial 23S ribosomal RNA
Rfam family: Bacterial large subunit ribosomal RNA
Source: RNAcentral